RNAcentral lists this ribosomal RNA (403 nucleotides) under Vibrio fortis. RNAcentral's name for it is "bacterial SSU rRNA". It matches the Rfam family "Bacterial small subunit ribosomal RNA", at positions 1 to 389 of the family's 1533-position model. Lineage: Bacteria; Pseudomonadati; Pseudomonadota; Gammaproteobacteria; Vibrionales; Vibrionaceae. The record is from RNAcentral.
UUAAUUGAAGAGUUUGAUCAUGGCUCAGAUUGAACGCUGGCGGCAGGCCUAACACAUGCAAGUCGAGCGGAAACGAGUUAUCUGAACCUUCGGGGAACGAUAACGGCGUCGAGCGGCGGACGGGUGAGUAAUGCCUAGGAAAUUGCCUUGAUGUGGGGGAUAACCAUUGGAAACGAUGGCUAAUACCGCAUAAUGCCUACGGGCCAAAGAGGGGGACCUUCGGGCCUCUCGCGUCAAGAUAUGCCUAGGUGGGAUUAGCUAGUUGGUGAGGUAAUGGCUCACCAAGGCGACGAUCCCUAGCUGGUCUGAGAGGAUGAUCAGCCACACUGGAACUGAGACACGGUCCAGACUCCUACGGGAGGCAGCAGUGGGGAAUAUUGCACAAUGGGCGCAAGCCUGAUGC